Molecule: long non-coding RNA, 986 nt
Organism: Lycium ferocissimum
Lineage: Eukaryota; Viridiplantae; Streptophyta; Magnoliopsida; Solanales; Solanaceae
Exons: 2
Source: RefSeq, a predicted model, not a curated record
GUCUUGAUUUAUAAUAGCUAACAUGCGCUUUGAGCAAGAAGUCUUCCAUAUGAAAACACCAGUCUGAUUGGCCCACUUUCAUCAUUGUUGAUGUAGUGAUCACACUGUCAAGCAAGCUUAGACCAUGAGGCUCCAAUGUUUUCAAAAGCGAAAAGCACAAAAAAGCAACAAGAUCUAUGGGCUUGAAGCAAAAAGCGAGAACUGAAGCGCACACUUCUUUGAAGUAAAGUGCAAGUUAUGGAAUACAAAAAAAAUACCAAACAUGUAUGAAUUUAAUGCUAUAAUAAAGCUGCUAUUGAUCCAACUCCUCAUAGUUAAGCCAAAAAUUGACCGCUUAUCAUUGGGAUUAUUUUGCGCGUCAUUAUUUGAAGCACACACUUCUCUAAAGCACAUGGCUUAGCUCAUCAAGCGAUAACACCUCGUUGGGCUUGCUUUAUGGCUUUAAGCGGCAAAGCAAUAACCCUUAAUAACACUAUGAGACUCAGCUGAUCUUGUCAUCAUAACAUGUCUGAAAGUCGUUUCUCUUUACCUUGAUCUACUUCUAUAUUCUUCAAGUAGCUUCCUAUAAAGCGAACAUAUUUUAACUACUCUCUGUCUUUGCAAGUAGUCUAAAACCCUUCUACCUAGGUAAUUCCAAUUUCAACAAUUUAUUGCUAGAAGGGUCCGACUUGGUACAAGUAGUGUUAGGGUAUGUAUAAACUAAAUAGAAAUAUUACAUUUGUGACUUCCUUUCUCUUUCCCUAAUAAUCGUCAUAAGAUAGAGCAUAAAAGUAAAGAGAUACAUAAUAUAAAGUAGAAAUCUUUUCUCAAUUCCACAAGUUAUCAUAAAUGCUUAACCAAUAAAGGCUCAAAUCUCAUUCUAUUUUCUAAUGGAUGGGUGGUUGUUGCACAAGGUUGUUUGAAGACUUGGUGUUAAUAGCAAGUGUGACUUUCCAUAAGAGGCGGAUGCAGUGUUGCGAUGUUGGGUUCAUUUGCACCUAGUACUU